ACACCGUGUAGUGUGAAUAAUCAUCUCCCACAUCCUCAGGUAGCCAAAGUUAAAUAUAACAGGAGUGUACAAAUCCAUAAAGAUCCCCAAUUUAAAGCAAUGAUGACAUAGCUUGAUUUUUUCCCUCUGAAAAUACACCUGUGGGUGCACCAUAUACAAAUGCUGCCACUCUCCUGCCUGUUCCAGCAAGAUGCAUCAAGGAUAGGAUGGAGAAGCUCUUACAGACAGAAAGCUGCAGGUUGUCUGUGAGUCUCAGAGGUGAUUACAAACAUAUUUAGUCAUGAAAAGACCAUCUCCAGACAUAAGCCCAAGAGCAGCAUCUGGGGAUGCAGUUUUCUCAGGCAUACCCAUUUCCCUUG
RNAcentral lists this long non-coding RNA (359 nucleotides) under Homo sapiens (human). RNAcentral describes it as "non-protein coding lnc-KCNH1-5:1". The record is from RNAcentral. Lineage: Eukaryota; Metazoa; Chordata; Mammalia; Primates; Hominidae.